This 884-nucleotide ribosomal RNA is filed under the name Spirinia sp. M1. RNAcentral describes it as "SSU rRNA". It matches the Rfam family "Eukaryotic small subunit ribosomal RNA", at positions 102 to 995 of the family's 1831-position model. Lineage: Eukaryota; Metazoa; Nematoda; Chromadorea; Desmodorida; Desmodoridae. The record is from RNAcentral.
UACAACAGCCGUGUUCUGGAUCCUGAUUUACUUGGAUAACUGUGGUAAUUCUAGAGCUAAUACAUGCUACAAAGCUCUGACCUGAAAGAAGGAGCGCAUUUAUUAGACCAAGACCAAUCAGGCUUUGCCUGUAAUCUGGUGACUCUGAAUAACUUUGCUGAUCACAUGGUCCUAGCACCGGUGACAUAUCUUUCAAGUGUCUGCCCUAUCAACUUUCGAUGGUAGUUUAUGUGCCUACCAUGGUUGUAACGGGUAACGGAGAAUAAGGGUUCGACUCCGGAGAGGGAGCCUGAGAAAUGGCUACCACAUCCAAGGAAGGCAGCAGGCGCGCAAAUUACCCACUCUCAGAAUGAGGAGGUAGUGACGAAAAAUAACAAGAUGGUUCUCUAUGAGGCCCAUCAUUGGAAUGGGUACAAUUUAAACCCUUUAACGAGGAUCUAUUGGAGGGCAAGUCUGGUGCCAGCAGCCGCGGUAAUUCCAGCUCCAAUAGCAUAUGCCAAUUCUGUUGCUGUUAAAAAGCUCGUAGUUGGAUCUUUUCCGAGGGUGGGGUCGGCCUGACAGGGCCUGUACUCUAUUCUGAGGAUAUAAUCGCUGGUCUUCCCUUGGUUCUCUUUAUUGGGUGCCUUGGGUGGCUAGCACAUUUACUUUGAAAAAAUUAGAGUGCUCAGAACAGGCGUUACUGCCCGUAUAGUGGUGCAUGGAAUAAUGGAAUAGGAUCUCGGUUCUAUUUUGUUGGUUUUAGGAGCGCGAGAUAAUGAUUAAGAGGGACAGACGGGGGCAUUUGUAUUGCGGCGUUAGAGGUGAAAUUCUUGGAUCGCCGCAAGACAAACAAUUGCGAAAGCAUUGCCAAGAAUGUUUUCAUUAAUCAAGAACGAAAGUUAGAG